GUGAGGAAUAUUGGUCAAUGGGCGAGAGCCUGAACCAGCCAAGUCGCGUGAAGGAAGACGGCCCUACGGGUUGUAAACUUCUUUUGCAAUGGAAUAAAAAGAGUUACGUGUAAUUCAUUGUAUGUACAUUGCGAAUAAGGAUCGGCUAACUCCGUGCCAGCAGCCGCGGUAAUACGGAGGAUCCGAGCGUUAUCCGGAUUUAUUGGGUUUAAAGGGUGCGUAGGCGGAUUGGAAAGUCAGCGGUGAAAGUUUGCAGCUUAACUGUAAAAUUGCCAUUGAAACUGUCAGUCUUGAGUGCAAAUGAGGUAGGCGGAAUGUGUUGUGUAGCGGUGAAAUGCAUAGAUAUAACACAGAACACCAAUUGCGAAGGCAGCUUACUGGGAUGCAACUGACGCUGAGGCACGAAAGCGUGGGGAUCAAACAGGAUUAGAAACCAGGGUAGUCC
RNAcentral lists this ribosomal RNA (445 nucleotides) under uncultured bacterium. RNAcentral's name for it is "partial 16S ribosomal RNA". It matches the Rfam family "Bacterial small subunit ribosomal RNA", at positions 354 to 796 of the family's 1533-position model. The record is from RNAcentral.